This is a long non-coding RNA of Prosopis cineraria, 1042 nucleotides long. RefSeq lists it as uncharacterized. Lineage: Eukaryota; Viridiplantae; Streptophyta; Magnoliopsida; Fabales; Fabaceae. The record is from RefSeq and is a predicted model, not a curated record. The transcript has 3 exons.
AUAGAAUCAAUGGAAGGCCCAAAUUAAUGCUUUGUUUUGCGGUAACUUGGAAAAUGGAUUUUGUUCCUUCCUACUUUUGCUCAAUAGCGUGGGCCCAAUAUUUUCUAGUUCAAUUUUCCAUUAUUGGACAGUGGUUCCUUCGGAGCUCUUAUGCAAUACACCUUUCUUAAACACCUAUCCUUUAAAAUUUUAGUUUGCUUGCCUGGUAAAAGUAGGAAUCAUAUUCCAAAUUUUGAAAGAGAGUUUCUUUGUUUUUUCCCCUCAAUUAGUUCUAAGGAAUAUGAUAUUCCUCUCGACUUGGAAACGCCAAAGCCCAUCAUAUAUCUUUUUCUUUUUUUCUUACAUGAAAAUUUCUGAUCGAGAGGUUAGAACCCUGAUAUUCUGUUCCUCAGCUUGAUAUCACUGUCAUUUUAUCAACCCUCGAGUUAAAUAUUUCACUAAGCGGCAUGAUAGAAGAGACAUGCAUCAAAGAAAGUCUUGAUUGGUUGCAUAUUAUGGAGAACUCGAAGGGAAUAUUCCAAUUGACCAGGGCAUCUUUAAAGUCUGCAGUAAUCCAUACAAGGAAUAGGGGGAAAUUAAAAGGAAAAAGAAAAUGAAAGAAGAUGCUUCCAGUAUGGAGAAGGGAGAUGGGCCCUAAAUUUUCAUUCUUCGGCCCAAAAACUCGAGGCCCAUCCUGUGGUAUCUUUGAGCGGGAGGGACCUGAUCAAAAGGGGGAAGCCAGAAUAGUACUCGUAGCUCAAUACAGGACAACAGCAGAAGACCACUUGACUUGCCUCUUUGCUUAUGUAGCAGAUUCCCACGAAUAUUUAAUGCGGCCAGGAGAAUCUGUGGGAGCCUUUUGGUAAAGUUAAAGGCUUUAAAGCUGAGCUCCUGAAUAGUGAUCUGGCAUGUGGAUUGGAAUAAUUUGAGCACGAGGAUUGAUCUGGUACUUUUCAGUCUUGAUAUCGAAUGUGCUCCCUUAGAUGGACUUAAUUAUACCACUUGGCAGAUCCUCUAGUCUAUAUCAUGAUAUGAGAAACUUAUCAUGACAGCUAGAAGAGUA